CCUAACCCUACAUCUCUUUCUAUCACUCUCUAUUAGCCGCACCUUCUCUCUCUCAGCCUUCUCUCACUCUCAGCCUCUCCCUCACAUCGUCUCUCUCAACCUCCCUCUAGUGUCUCUCUCUCACACGACAAGGAAGCCAGGCGGGGCUCUCUCACAUGGUCUCCGCCUCUCCCUCACAUCGUCUCUCUCAACCUCCCUCUAGUGUCUCUCUCUCACACGACAAGGAAGCCAGGCGGGGCUCUCUCACAUGGUCUCCCUCUCUCUCUCACCGAUGGUGGUGGGGCUUCGGGGUCGGCGACGUGUGGUGGACGUGAGGCUUUGCGACAUCGUUGUUUGAGCUCGUUUGACAGCAUUACCAAAAUGAAGGGUGAUACUGGUUCUCAUUGGAGAGGUGGCUCGUGAAGGGUGGGGUUGUUUGUGGUGGUGGCGAGUUGCAUCAUUUUUGUUGUUUUUGUUACAUCUUAGAACUGAAAUUAUGUAUAAAGUAUAAUAUUAGUGUGAUAAAUGGUAUAUCUGAUUUUGUUGUAAAUAUUGUAUAUGUGAGUUUAUUUCUGAAACCUAGUUUGAUAUAUGGCAUUUUGUAACUUAAUGUUGUUUUGGAAUGGGUAAAUGUCCCGUUUUUCAUUUUA
Molecule: long non-coding RNA, 629 nt
Organism: Humulus lupulus (European hop)
Lineage: Eukaryota; Viridiplantae; Streptophyta; Magnoliopsida; Rosales; Cannabaceae
Exons: 3
Source: RefSeq, a predicted model, not a curated record